RNA transcript from Triticum dicoccoides, 2676 nucleotides. RefSeq lists it as uncharacterized. Lineage: Eukaryota; Viridiplantae; Streptophyta; Magnoliopsida; Poales; Poaceae. The transcript is spliced from 3 exons. The record is from RefSeq and is a predicted model, not a curated record.
ACCCUAAUUCCACCUAUCUCUGCGCCCUCUCUCCCUUAUCUCCUUCUCUCCCGAUCUGGGCGGCGGCGGCGGCGGCUCCCGUCCUCUUCCUCCACUCCUCUCCCUCAGAUUGAGCUCCGCCCAGAAGUAGAGGCUACGAGGCCAUCAAUCUGUGUGCGUCUAGCCAUGGAGGGCUCCCCCCACUCGCGCUCCUUCUCCGCAUGGAGCGCUACCAGCCCACACGGUGUAGAUCCACUACCCCUGCGUCCUCCCCACGCCGGCCGCCGGUGGCUGCCGCAUAGAUCCGUUCCUCCCCCACCUGCUGCACGCGAUGGCGCACGCUACCAUGCCGUUUUGGUGCUGCCCAGACCGCUGCCCCUACCCUCGCGCUCUAGGCAGAGGCUCAUUCUUCUUGGUGGUGACUACACGUUCCUCCCAGGUGGUGGCGCUCUCUGCCUGCUGUCUUGCGUUUCUCCCAGCGGCUGUGCCCUUUGACCACUACCUCGAAUCAGUUUCGACAAUGGACAUUUGAACAAAAUCAUAUACUAGAGACUGCUUGUAUUAUAAUAGAAGGUAAACUUACCAAUCGAACAGAGUGAACAAUACUUGUAUUAGAGUGUAUUGCAUGUGCAUUGUGGUCACUAGUAUCAAUCCAUAGAAAUUACACUAUAUAAUGAUGGAUGAAACAAAUGGAACCUAUAUCCUGACCACUACUAUAUUGUAGCUUCUAAAACACUUGUAUGCACAGAUAGUUUCUCUUGUUUUUUAUAACUGAUACAUUAUUGAGAUAAAUCUCGCUCAGUUUUUAUAGUGGGGAAGGAAAGCUUCAAGAUGUUCCAUUUAAAGUGAUGAUAUCUAUUUGAAAAUAAAUUCAUGUGCAUACCUCCUCAAUCCUUACAUUAGCAUGUCUCCGUUUCUCUUAUUCAAGAGAAGCGUGAAACAAAGCACUCAUUCAAAAUUCUAUGCUAUCAGAAAUAAGGUCAUUAAUAUUCAGAUAUAUGCAUGUAAACUUGGCCAGUCAAUCAUCAAAUACACACACAUACACACGCACGCACGCUGGAAGGUGGUGUUCAUGUUUGACAAAAUUGUACUUGCGUAGCAAUAGUUCCUGCAACAACUAAAGUGUUCCUGAUCCAUUGUGGGGCGUUGCUAGGCCUUGAUUUUGACAUUUAUAAAGUAUUGCUCAGAUCUGUUUGGUUCAGAUUUUGACUUUAUUUUUCAGCUACAUUGUUCCUGUUAUCCAUUGCGAGGCAUAUAAAUGCUUUGAUUUUGACUUUAUUUUUCAGCUGAGUACAGCUAGUAUUGAAUAAAAGUUGGACAGAUGCAGAUAGGUAAGUGUUAUCAAUAUGAUGGUUUAUGAUCUACCAGUGCAAGCAAUCACUAUUGAUGAAAUAAUUAUGAGAACUUUUCUUGUAGAGUAUAAUAGAUAUUUUAUAUGCAACUAUUCAGUUGACUUGUGAAGGAAUAGCUAAUGUCAUGCUUGAAUAACUGGGUUGUUUUCAUGACCUUAACAGUGCAAAGCUAUGAAGCUGUCAUGCUUGUAUAAGUGGGCAGUACAUAAAGCUGCUGUUAUGACCUUAACCAUCCAAAACCAAAUUACUCUCAAACUAGAGAGCAAGAAAUUAGGAGAUAGUUUCCUGUAGAAUAAUAGUUCCUGUAUGUGCAGCAAUUCAAUUGCCCUGUGAAGUAAUAGUUGAUGCCAUGCUUGUAAGUGGGUUGGUUUCAUGACCUUGACAGUGCAAAGCUAUGCACGUAACGUUCACAUUUUACUUUGAGUUUCCCUUCAGCAAUUACUUGUGAAUGUUUCAGCACUGAACUGUAUUUGGCUGAGUAUAUUAAUAUUCAAACUUGUUUGUGUCGCUUUCACUAUUUUGUGAGCCUUUAAUCGCUCUAGUGUUCACAUCUUCUAUCUUGGAUACUAUAUCUUUUAUUUGAUCUGACUGGACGCUUAUUUAUGAUUAUCACAGAUAAAAAAUAUAUUUUGUUAUGUUUGUUGUCGAUUUCCUUAAGAAAUAAAGUAGUUGCUGCCUGAAUCAGAUAAAUUAUUUUAAUAUUCACUUCACCAAUGGAACAUUUCCCUGACUUGUGUUAUUAAUGUAGUCUGACCAUCUUUAUUUCCAACAACAUAUACUAUUAGCAGAUGUUGGAAUUCAUAUUGGCUUUAUACAAAAGAAAAACUUUUCUUAUAGUAUUGUUCUAUUGGUGAAGUGAAUAUUAAAAUAAUUUAUCUCAAGGAGAAACUGAAAGAAUUCCAGAUCUUGAUGAAUGUGUACUAAGGUUGUGAGGAUCUGAAGAAACCCUUUUUCCGUUGCAUGUAGUGGAGCAAGAUUUCUUAUAUCUGGGUGAGGGCAUCAAUCAAUGUUGGGAUAAGCAAUCUCAUCACUACAAUAUAUAGCUACCACAGUGGACCAGGCGCGUUCUUGAGCAUAGCUAGAUGGAAAAACAUCUUUCGUGAGCUGGCAUGUGAAGGAAACAAACCAAAGGAGUGCAUUCACACGGAGCCAUGAAGCCAACGAUCUACGUCAACUAGAUGUUUUCGAUUUCAUUUUGUACAACUGAUGUCUCAUACUUGCAUCUUUUACCUGUCCUUCUGUGAACUUGAUGUAUGGUGUCUUGGUGGUAAUGUUUAGAACAUACUGAAGUGUAUGUAUCUGACAAAUAGUUAAUGGAAUAAAAAAAUGUUUGGUGCACCUGAUA